RNAcentral lists this transfer RNA (72 nucleotides) under Camelus bactrianus (Bactrian camel). It matches the Rfam family "tRNA". From Rfam's summary of the family: Transfer RNA (tRNA) molecules are approximately 80 nucleotides in length. Their secondary structure includes four short double-helical elements and three loops (D, anti-codon, and T loops). Further hydrogen bonds mediate the characteristic L-shaped molecular structure. tRNAs have two regions of fundamental functional importance: the anti-codon, which is responsible for specific mRNA codon recognition, and the 3' end, to which the tRNAs corresponding amino acid is attached (by aminoacyl-tRNA synthetases). tRNAs cope with the degeneracy of the genetic code in two manners: having more than one tRNA (with a specific anti-codon) for a particular amino acid; and 'wobble' base-pairing, i.e. permitting non-standard base-pairing at the 3rd anti-codon position. RNAcentral also lists the same sequence under 1 other name. The record is from Rfam by way of RNAcentral. Lineage: Eukaryota; Metazoa; Chordata; Mammalia; Artiodactyla; Camelidae.
AAGGGGAUAGCUCAGUGGUAGAGUGUCUGCUUAGCAUGCACAAGGUCCUGGGUUCAAUCCCCAGUACCUUCA